RNAcentral lists this ribosomal RNA (106 nucleotides) under uncultured bacterium. RNAcentral's name for it is "partial 16S ribosomal RNA". The record is from RNAcentral.
AUACUGUCAUUAUCAUCUCUGGCGAAAGUGCUUUACGACCCUAGGGCCUUCAUCACACACGCGGCAUGGCUAGAUCAGGCUUUCGCCCAUUGUCUAAGAUUCCCCA